This 754-nucleotide ribosomal RNA is filed under the name uncultured bacterium. RNAcentral describes it as "bacterial SSU rRNA". It matches the Rfam family "Bacterial small subunit ribosomal RNA", at positions 102 to 852 of the family's 1533-position model. The record is from RNAcentral.
ACGGGUGAGUAAUGUCUGGGAAACUGCCCGAUGGAGGGGGAUAACUACUGGAAACGGUAGCUAAUACCGCAUAACGUCGCAAGACCAAAGAGGGGGACCUUCGGGCCUCUUGCCAUCGGAUGUGCCCAGAUGGGAUUAGCUUGUAGGUGAGGUAACGGCUCACCUAGGCGACGAUCCCUAGCUGGUCUGAGAGGAUGACCAGCCACACUGGAACUGAGACACGGUCCAGACUCCUACGGGAGGCAGCAGUGGGGAAUAUUGCACAAUGGGCGCAAGCCUGAUGCAGCCAUGCCGCGUGUAUGAAGAAGGCCUUCGGGUUGUAAAGUACUUUCAGCGGGGAGGAAGGGAGUGAGGUUAAUAACCUCAUUCAUUGACGUUACCCGCAGAAGAAGCACCGGCUAACUCCGUGCCAGCAGCCGCGGUAAUACGGAGGGUGCGAGCGUUAAUCGGAAUUACUGGGCGUAAAGCGCACGCAGGCGGUCUGUCAAGUCGGAUGUGAAAUCCCCGGGCUCAACCUGGGAACUGCAUUCGAAACUGGCAGGCUGGAGUCUUGUAGAGGGGGGUAGAAUUCCAGGUGUAGCGGUGAAAUGCGUAGAGAUCUGGAGGAAUACCGGUGGCGAAGGCGGCCCCCUGGACAAAGACUGACGCUCAGGUGCGAAAGCGUGGGGAGCAAACAGGAUUAGAUACCCUGGUAGUCCACGCUGUAAACGAUGUCGACUUGGAGGUUGUUCCCUUGAGGAGUGGCUUCCGGAGC